This 432-nucleotide ribosomal RNA is filed under the name uncultured bacterium. Its description in RNAcentral is "bacterial SSU rRNA". It matches the Rfam family "Bacterial small subunit ribosomal RNA", at positions 40 to 469 of the family's 1533-position model. The record is from RNAcentral.
CGGCGUGGUUAAGACAUGCAAGUCGAACGCUGGUUUGCGGGUAGCAAUAUUUGCAAACUGGAGUGGCGCAAGGGUGUGUAACACGUGGGUAAUCUGCCAUGAAGUCUGGGAUAACUUGCUGAAAGGCGAGCUAAUACCGGAUGUGAAUGUAAAUUCAAAGUUGGGGACCGUAAGGCCUGACGCUUCAUGAUGAGCCCGCGGCCUAUCAGCUAGUUGGUGAGGUAACGGCUCACCAAGGCUAAGACGGGUAGCUGGUCUGAGAGGACGACCAGCCACACUGGAACUGAGACACGGUCCAGACACCUACGGGUGGCAGCAGUCGAGAAUUUUUCUCAAUGGGCGAAAGCCUGAAAGAGGCGACGCCGCGUGGGGGAUGAAUGGCUUCGGCCCGUAAACGCCUGUCAUUUGUGAACAAAUUGUUUCACCUAACAC